UCCAAAACCUACAGUAAGCCAGUACUACUAUCAUAAUCAGAAAAAAUACAACCUUUAAAAGAGGCAGUUUCUGUUGACCUCCUUAUCUUGUUUGGGCUUUAUUUACCAUGCCCCUGGGAGGAAUUCAUUUCCUUGUGGGCAAAAUGAGGAAACCACUCCCCCACUCAGGGCUGGCCAGGGACUGAAGGUGGCGUCCCAUGGGAGCACUGGGCAGUGAGCCACCCCGCAGGCUCCUGGCACCAGAGGGCCCUGAGCAGGGCUACCUCCCCACAGCCCGCCCGCAGUGGCCACUGCCAACUCCGAUGGAAAACGGUCUGGCUUGCCAAAUCCAGAGCUCUAGAAAAGUCCUACUUCUGGGAAUCUGCCCUACAUCAGUUGUCAUGAUGCAAAUAGACAAAACUUCAUGUGCAAAUAGAUUUAAUGCAGCAGUAUUUUUAAUAGGAAAAAUUUGGAAUUAAUGUAAGUGUUCCACAGAAGGAAAUUGGUUAAAUAAAUUUAGUCAUGGAACAGCAGAACAUCUCACAGCCACUGGGAUAUGGUUCUGAAAUAUAGAUUUGUGGGCUUUAAUGUUUCCUGAAUGAAGACAAAUAAUUGCAUAGACAGAGGGGUGUCUAUAAUAUUAAUUUCUAGAAAACUGCCUGGAAGGAAAUGUGCCAACAGAAUAAGCAUGUCCCCUCUCAGGGGUGACAUGACGAGGGAGUUUCUCUGGUUACCGUCUCUGGCCGUAGCAGCACGUGGAGUGUGAGUAACAAAAGUCAAGAGCAAAGCACCAAAGAUCCCGGCGUCCCCCACUCCAGCCCUCCCUCUCCCUUUCCCACUUCUAACAGUUUGUUCUAGAUGUUUUCUUUGAAUCCACCACGCAUUGCCUUUGAAACUUACAUAUCCAACCAGAAAAAUGAUAUGGUGAAGGGGGAAAAAAUAUAAGACUCUGAAAAUGAAUCACAACGUUACGGAAAAUUAGAAGCGUGGACUUAUUUUGCAAAGCAAAUCUCUAUUUUUACAGAGGAGGAAGCCCGACUCAGGGAGGGAGGUCGGGAGGGUUGCCGAGCUGGGGCUGGAUUGCGGGUCGUGUGGGCAGAGCUGGGGCUGCCACCCCUGGGCUCUGGGAGCUCAGAGGAGGAGGGGCGGCUGCAGGGAGGCAGGAUGCUCAGCUGGCUGGGGUGGGGCAGGCUGAGGAGGCUUCUGCCUGAUGCAGGCAGGCAGACAUCUGGGCACGAGGGGGCCAAAGUCCUCAUUUAUGGCCUUGGGGCAGUUAAUGUGUAAUAUGUCUAAGAUAUAAGCUUGACCAUGACGUGGGACCCUGAGCACAGGCUUCCAGGAGCUGCUGGGAGCUGCUGCCAGGAGCUGUCACCAUGUCGGAGGAUUUCGAGAUUAGGAACAUGAACAUGAAGCCGGGGACAACCCUGAAGAUCAAGGGCAGGAUUCCCGACGACGCCAACAGCCACUGAAGGUGCGAGUGGAGAAGCCCCUGGCACCGUGCCCCGGCCCUGCAGGUCAGGUGCCUCUACUGAGAGCCCGAGCCCUGAGACACCGCCCUCCAGCCACCCCGCUCAGCGGCCAGAGCCCGGCCUUUCACGCGCAUAAACCAGGGCAGCCACCAGGGGGCGCCAAGUGACCCCGCUUGCGUCCGGUCAGUAGAACCAGAGGCACGACCCACCUCUGAGCCACAGCUCAGCGCGGCUCCCACGUGUGCAGAGCAGUGUCGGCGGGGCUCGGCACUGCUCUCUAUCCACCUUUGGUUCCGGAGGGGGUGGGCAGAUGCAUGGGGUAAGAGCCAAGAGAAAAGUGACUCCUUUCUCCUACUUGAGUCCCUCACGUUUGCAGAAAUGUGGGGUGUCCCUGGUCUGAGACCCCUGAAUGAAGGCACCCCAUGACCCAGAAUGUCCUGCUCUUGGGGACCCUGAUGAUCUAACCCAGGCUUCUGCAGAGAUCUGCCAAGAAGUCACACAACCCCUGACUGCAUACCUCUAGUAACAGGGAGCUCACCACCUUAGGCUGGCUACUGUUUGCAGCCAAAUUUAAUAUGUCCUCAGAUAUCUAAGGAUGGCGAUGCUCUGUCUCAGGAUAGACACCCUCGAUUCCAGAAGCUAUCACUGUCAGUUACCCUCCUGUCAACAGCCUCAUUCCCUGUUUCAAAUGGAAUGUGCCACCACAAUGCCAAGUCUGACCAGGUUGUCACCUCCCUUGUUUUAAGGCACAGAUCUUAAUUAACAUAACCUUUUUUCGUGAUUCUUCCAGCUUAGUGUGGUCAACCAAAACCCUCUAACCCAAGCAGUUUUACCCAAACCUGGCCUCCAAACCUCACCUGUUAUCCCCUCCCCUGCAGCUUUGCAAUUAAUCUGGGCCAGGGGUCAGAUGAGUUGAACCUGCACUUCAACCCUCGCUUCACUGAAUCCAUCAUUGUCUGCAACACAAAGGAUGGCAGCAGCUGGGGACAAGAGCAACGGGAUAAUCACCAGUGCUUCACCCCAGGGUCAGAGGUCAAGGUGAGGUCAAAGGGGAAAGCAGUCUGGAGAAGGUGUCAAGGGGAGGGCCCAAAGGGUAGGGCAUGUAGUCCUGGACAUGCGUGCUGGCAGUGUCUGUGCCACCAGGCACUGCCCUGGCCCAUUCCCAGGGCCUCCUGCCUCCUUGACACCCUCCCCAACUCCCCUACAGGUGACCAUAACCUUUGAGAGUGACAAAUUCAACGUGAUGCUGCCAGACGGGCACCGGUUGACCUUUCCCAACAGGCUGGGCCACAACCACCUGA
Non-coding RNA from Microcebus murinus (gray mouse lemur), 2749 nucleotides. NCBI's taxonomy places the organism in Eukaryota, Metazoa, Chordata, Mammalia, Primates, Cheirogaleidae. The record is from RefSeq and is a predicted model, not a curated record.